RNAcentral lists this ribosomal RNA (483 nucleotides) under uncultured bacterium. RNAcentral describes it as "partial 16S ribosomal RNA". It matches the Rfam family "Bacterial small subunit ribosomal RNA", at positions 28 to 523 of the family's 1533-position model. The record is from RNAcentral.
GACGAACGCUGGCGGCGUGCUUUACACAUGCAAGUCGAACGGUGAAGGUGGAGCUUGCUCCGCCGGAUCAGUGGCGAACGGGUGAGUAACACGUGGGCAACCUGCCCCUAACUUUGGGAUAACUACUCGAAAGAGUAGCUAAUACCGGAUAUGAAGUCUGUAGGCAUCUAUGGAGUUGGAAAGUUUUACGGUUAGGGAUGGGCCCGCGGCCUAUCAGCUUGUUGGUGAGGUAGUGGCGCCCCACGGCGACGACGGGUAGCCGGCCUGAGAGGGCGACCGGCCACACUGGGACUGAGACACGGCCCAGACUCCUACGGGAGGCAGCAGUGGGGAAUAUUGCGCAAUGGGCGAAGGCCUGACGCAGCAACGCCGCGUGCGGGAUGAAGGCCUUCGGGUUGUAAACCGCUUUCAGCAGGGAAGAAGCGAAAGUGACGGUACCUGCAGAAGAAGCACCGGCUAACUACGUGCCAGCCGCCGCGGUAA